AAACACAACGGUCAGAAAAGGGAUUGAAACAUCCAUAAAGAGGAUUUUAAGAGUGUGUGUACCUCCUGUAGUGUGUUAAUGUCCACUCCGUCUCCUUGGAUGACUCGAAUGUAAGGAGGCAACACCUUAAAACCUUUAGAGUUCUCCUCAGUGGGGAACUUCUUACCCAGGAUCUCCAAAACCUUCACGUUAAUUAAAGACACCAUCAAGACAAAUUCAAACAUGACUGACUUUUUUUUUUUUUUUUCAGAGCACACCUUCAAUACUGUAUCUAGUGGGUUUCCCGAGUCGGGCCGCACGACGAGCGGAGCGUCGGCGCUGCGCUUCUCGAUGAGCCCGCGAAGGUCUUCGCCCCAGAUCUUCUCGCAGGCGUUGUAGAUGUCGUAGCUGUCACUGACGAUGGAGACGGGCACGCCGGGGAACUGCUUGAUGAUGUGCUCAAAGGCGUCUUUCUCGUGGUCCUUGCCCCACGCGGUGAUGGUGCUGUGGUGAGACAAAAAUACAGAGGGAAAGCAGACAUCACCAGCGACAGCCAAUCAGGAAUCUUCCCCUCCAGCCAAUCGCAGCCCAUCGAGACACAAGGCGAGGGGAGCGGGGACACGCAGCAGAUGUCGCGGGAUUACGUCAAAGAAAGAAGUCAGUGACUUCUGUGGCGGGAUGAAGCGUGCGACACUUGGAGGACGACAGAUAUUCCACAGCAUUUCUCAUGACAAAACAUUUGCAUGGUACAAUUACAAUUAGAUUGGAAUAAAUAAAUACAGGAGGUGUGUUUACCUGCUUUGUUUUGACACACCUAAUAAUUACCCCAGCAUGAAAUUCCCUCACCGAGAGAGGAAUAACUUUGAGGCCGACGGCGAAGGGGAGAAUGUCAAAAAAGAACACGUACCAGAGUGGAACCUCCUUGUUGACAAUGAUACAGCUAAUUUUAUCAUCAUGCGCGUGUGUUUGCGUGGUUGUUGAUCUGUGUAUUUAUACUAGCUGUGAGGAUGUGUGUGUGUGUGUGUGUGUGUGUGUGUGUGUGUGUGUGUGUGUGUGUGUGUGUGUGUGUGUGUGUGUGUGUGAGAAUCUCCACCACUGAAAGAAAAAAAAUACCCUAAUGGUAAGUCAUAGUCAUGAGAUAAAAAGUCGAAAUUAUGAGAUAAAAAUUCUAAAUUACAAGAAAAAGUCAUAAUUAUGCGAUAGGAAAGUCAUGGUCGCCUUCGUCACAUGGCACAUGCGCAGUUUUUAUCUCAGAAUUAGGACUUUUUAUCUCAUUAUUUCAACUGUUUAUCUCUUAAUGAUCAGUUUUUAAAUCUUGUUAUUUUGAGUUUUUAUCUUAUAAUUACGACGUUAUUUCAUAAUUGCGACUUUUUUUUUUUGUUUUAUUUACACUUGGCUGUAGUGUUGUUUAAUGCUGGCUGAUCAGUUUGCUUCUUACCGCUUUUACAACACUGGUUGUGUUGCUGCGGUGUUGUGCAAUACGUUUGUUGAUAAAUGACCAUGGAGUUAGAGCGCUAUGUUUUCUUUUGCACUCUCUCAUGCACUCCAAAUCAUGACGACAGGUUCAAAUGAACUUGUUGUAUA
This is a long non-coding RNA of Dunckerocampus dactyliophorus (ringed pipefish), 1563 nucleotides long. RefSeq lists it as uncharacterized. NCBI's taxonomy places the organism in Eukaryota, Metazoa, Chordata, Actinopteri, Syngnathiformes, Syngnathidae. The transcript has 3 exons. The record is from RefSeq and is a predicted model, not a curated record.